This 490-nucleotide ribosomal RNA is filed under the name uncultured bacterium. Its description in RNAcentral is "partial 16S ribosomal RNA". It matches the Rfam family "Bacterial small subunit ribosomal RNA", at positions 28 to 507 of the family's 1533-position model. The record is from RNAcentral.
GAUGAACGCUAGCUACAGGCUUAACACAUGCAAGUCGAGGGGAAACGAUGAGAGAGCUUGCUCUCUUAGGCGUCGACCGGCGCACGGGUGAGUAACGCGUAUCCAACCUACCCAUUACAGGGGGAUAACCUUGCGAAAGUAAGACUAAUACCCCAUGGCAUUUUAUGGUGGCAUCAUUAUAGGAUUAAAGAUUUAUUGGUAAUGGAUGGGGAUGCGUCUGAUUAGCUUGUUGGCGGGGUAACGGCCCACCAAGGCAACGAUCAGUAGGGGUUCUGAGAGGAAGGUACACCACAAUUGAAACGAGGCCCCGACCCAAACUCGACGGGGGGGAAGAGAUGGGGACACUAGGGAAGGGGGCAGGACUUGGAACCGCCGAGUAGGGGAGAAGGUUGCGGGCAUAGUGGUUGUAAACUGCUUUUAUAGGGGAAUAAAGUGAGCUACGUGUAGUUUAUUGCAUGUACCCUAUGAAUAAGGAACGGCUAAUUCCGUG